This 253-nucleotide ribosomal RNA is filed under the name uncultured bacterium. RNAcentral's name for it is "partial 16S ribosomal RNA". It matches the Rfam family "Bacterial small subunit ribosomal RNA", at positions 524 to 776 of the family's 1533-position model. The record is from RNAcentral.
UACGGGGGGAGCAAGCGUUGUUCGGAUUUACUGGGCGUAAAGGGCGCGUAGGCGGCCGUGCAAGUCAGUUGUGAAAUCUCCGGGCUUAACUCGGAACGGUCAACUGAUACUGCUCGGCUAGAGUGCGGAAGGGGCAACUGGAAUUCUUGGUGUAGCGGUGAAAUGCGUAGAUAUCAAGAGGAACACCUGCGGCGAAGGCGGGUUGCUGGGCCGACACUGACGCUGAAGCGCGAAAGCCAGGGGAGCGAACGGG